AUAUCAAUAAGCGGAGGAAAAGAAACUAACAAGGAUUCCCCUAGUAACGGCGAGUGAAGCGGGAAGAGCUCAAGCUUAAAAUCUCUGCGCGAGUUUCGUGCGGCGAAUUGUAGUCUAUAGAUGCGUGGUCAGCGUUGGCGCUCGGGGCAAGUUCCUUGGAAGAGGACAGCAUGGAGGGUGAUACUCCCGUUCAUCUCUGAGUGGCUGGUGCGUACGACCCGUUUUCUUUGAGUCGCGUUGUUUGGGAAUGCAGCGCAAAGUAGGUGGUAAAUUCCAUCUAAAGCUAAAUAUUGGUGCGAGACCGAUAGCGAACAAGUACCGUGAGGGAAAGAUGAAAAGAACUUUGAAAAGAGAGUUAAAGAGUACCUGAAACUGCUGAAAGGGAACCGAAUCGUUUCCAGUGUCUAUAAUCCGCGGCAUAUUUCAUCGGCGAGUGUGUGCGUGCGCGUGCUUUGGCAGUGGCUUUUGUGGCUGCGCUGGGCGUGUGCUGUGCGUGUGUUUGCUGGUGCCCUGUGUUGCGGUGGGACGUCAAGGUCAGUUCGUGUGCUGCGGGAAAUGGCUGCCGAGGAGGUAGGGCUUACGCUCCGCGUUUGUCUGUUAUAUCUUGGUGGACGAGUCGUCGUGGUUGGGACUGAGGUGCCUACAACGUGCUUUUGAGUGAGUGUGCGUCUCUGUGCGCUUGCUGUGCGGAUAGCUUGCUAUGCGUGUGGCGUAGUGUUUGGAUGGAUGUGCGCUUUUGCUUGUUGCCGUUCGGGACGUUGACGAAAUGGAGCGAUCCGACCCGUCUUGAAACACGGACCAAGGAGUCUAACAUGUGU
RNAcentral lists this ribosomal RNA (818 nucleotides) under Phytophthora kernoviae. Its description in RNAcentral is "eukaryotic LSU rRNA". It matches the Rfam family "Eukaryotic large subunit ribosomal RNA", at positions 40 to 685 of the family's 3401-position model. Lineage: Eukaryota; Oomycota; Peronosporomycetes; Peronosporales; Peronosporaceae. The record is from RNAcentral.